RNAcentral lists this long non-coding RNA (1070 nucleotides) under Populus trichocarpa (black cottonwood). RNAcentral's name for it is "long non-coding RNA (PTRI_LNC004032)". Lineage: Eukaryota; Viridiplantae; Streptophyta; Magnoliopsida; Malpighiales; Salicaceae. The record is from RNAcentral.
UAGCCAAGGAAAAAUGAACAUGGUAAAGUUUACUCAUUACUGAAUGGAGAAAUAUAAUGCCAAAAGGAGGGAAAAUGAACUUAGUAAAGAAGUGAACUUUUUUCGAGUAAUUAUAUUUAUGAUGUCAAUUGAGAAUUAACUGAAAAUUUAUCUUUAAACUAUGCUUCUUUACUUGGGGUUGGAGCUGGAGCACUACACCUUUUUAUCAAAUUAUAAUUGUGACAUGGUCACUAAAUUUAGGGAAACGCAUACACGAGUGGAAGCAUGCAUAUUGCCUUUGGCGAGUCAUUACCUAUCACUGAUCAUUCUGGUUGUAGCCUUUGAGGUUGCAGAUAAAGCUUGUCUUUCAGCAACUUCAGCUGCAUCUAGAAUCUUAUCUGUGGUUUGGAAAAUCAGAAAACGUCAUCACACAUUUGAAGGAAGAGAAUAGGAUCACUAGUUUAGCUUCAGUACUUACUGACAGCAUCAAGUGAAGCCAAGAGUACUUCUCCUGGGACCAUAGAUAGGAAUGCCUUUCCAGCUUGAGAUUUAACCAGAGGUGUAAUUACUGACCCGGUGGCAAUGCCAACACCAUCAAGCAUAGUUUUGCUUAGCUUUUCUGUCAUCCUGGACAGCUUUCUCACACUAAGUGGUUAACAGUAAAAAGCAAUAAUCAAACAUUUGCUUUGAAAAGAAGGGUAAAGUUUUGUCAUGUUCUCAUUUAUAAUGGAAAAUGGUCUUGUCUUAGGAUACCGUUUUAUGCUUUUGUUGACUUUGCUCUUCUUCGUGGACCCAGCACUUCUGUUGCUGCUAAUUUCUGUUGCCAUGGCACCAUUUUUCUCCUCUGCAGCUCUGGAUAAAAUCAUUUCCCCUCCCUUGUGGACCUGCUUUUCUAUCUUCAUUUUAGAAUCACUAUCCAUAGCAAUCUGAAUGAUGGCACUUCCUUUUCUCUCAUACAGACCAACAUUUUUUAUGUUUCAAGGUAAACUCUUAUAUUAUUGAAGUCUAAGACUCAAGUAUCACUCAACGAACCAUAAAUUCAGUUCAAAUAAAUAAUACUGAUUUACAAACAGAAAGAAACAAUGAUUCAU